UGCAACAUUCGGUUUGUAGCCUGAGGGUCGGCACAGAUUUCACUUCUUUUCCAGCUCUCACCCUUCCUAUCACAGUGACAGCUUUGACUGUGCACUAAGAGGAGAGCUCUCAGCUUCUCUGCUGUUGUUCACAG
RNAcentral lists this long non-coding RNA (134 nucleotides) under Cyanistes caeruleus (blue tit). RNAcentral describes it as "lncRNA (ENSCCEG00000006178.1)". The record is from RNAcentral. Lineage: Eukaryota; Metazoa; Chordata; Aves; Passeriformes; Paridae.